Molecule: ribosomal RNA, 109 nt
Filed under: Scophthalmus maximus (turbot)
Lineage: Eukaryota; Metazoa; Chordata; Actinopteri; Pleuronectiformes; Scophthalmidae
Source: RNAcentral
GCUUACGGCCACACCGCCUGGUUCACGCCUGAUCUCGGAAGCUAAGAUAGGUUGGGCCUGGUUAGUACUUGGAUGGGAGACCGCCUGGGAAUACCAGGGGCUGCAAGCU